UUGCGUAGGUGGCAGAGUAAGUGGAUAGUGAAAGCGUGUGGCUCAACCAUACAUCCAUUAUCUAAACUGCUCAGCUAGAGGACGAGAGAGGUAGAUGGAAUUUCUGAUGUAGGGGUAAUAUCCGUAGAUAUCAGAAGGAACACCGAUGGCGUAAGCAGUCUACUGGCUCGUUCCUGACACCAAGGCACGAAAGCGUGGGGAGCAAACA
RNAcentral lists this ribosomal RNA (208 nucleotides) under uncultured bacterium. RNAcentral describes it as "partial 16S ribosomal RNA". It matches the Rfam family "Bacterial small subunit ribosomal RNA", at positions 567 to 774 of the family's 1533-position model. The record is from RNAcentral.